AAUAGAUACCCCGGUAGUCCACGCCCUAAACGAUGGAUACUAGGUGUAGGGGGUAUCGACUCCCCCUGUGCCGUCGCAAACGCAAUAAGUAUCCCGCCUGGGGAGUACGGCCGCAAGGUUAAAACUCAAAGGAAUUGACGGGGACCCGCACAAGCAGUGGAGCAUGUGGUUUAAUUCGAAGCAACGCGAAGAACCUUACCAGGGCUUGACAUCCCGCUGACCGGUGUAGAGAUAUGCCUUUCCCCUUCGGGGGACAGCGGUGACAGGUGGUGCAUGGUUGUCGUCAGCUCGUGUCGUGAGAUGUUUGGUUAAGUCCAUUAACGAGCGCAACCCUUAUGAAUAGUUGUAUUUUUCUAUUCAGACUGCCCCGGUAACGGGGAGGAAGGGGGGAUGAUGUCAGGUCAGUAUUGCCCUUACGCCCUGGGCUAGAAACGCGUUACAAUGGCCGGUACAAUGCGCUGCCAACCCGCGAGGGGGAGCAAAUCGCAUCAAAGCCGGUCCCAGUUCGGAUAAGAGGCUGAAACUCGCCUCUUUGAAGCCGGAAUCGCUAGUAAUCGUAGAUC
Molecule: ribosomal RNA, 563 nt
Filed under: uncultured bacterium
Lineage: Bacteria
Description: bacterial SSU rRNA
Rfam family: Bacterial small subunit ribosomal RNA
Source: RNAcentral